Molecule: transfer RNA, 90 nt
Filed under: Actinomycetota bacterium
Lineage: Bacteria; Bacillati; Actinomycetota
Also listed under: 3 other names
Description: Actinobacteria bacterium tRNA-Ser
Rfam family: tRNA
About the family: Transfer RNA (tRNA) molecules are approximately 80 nucleotides in length. Their secondary structure includes four short double-helical elements and three loops (D, anti-codon, and T loops). Further hydrogen bonds mediate the characteristic L-shaped molecular structure. tRNAs have two regions of fundamental functional importance: the anti-codon, which is responsible for specific mRNA codon recognition, and the 3' end, to which the tRNAs corresponding amino acid is attached (by aminoacyl-tRNA synthetases). tRNAs cope with the degeneracy of the genetic code in two manners: having more than one tRNA (with a specific anti-codon) for a particular amino acid; and 'wobble' base-pairing, i.e. permitting non-standard base-pairing at the 3rd anti-codon position.
Source: RNAcentral
GGAAGGUUGCCAGAGCGGACGAAUGGGGCGGCCUCGAAAGCCGCUGUGGCCUCCGGGUCACCAAGGGUUCGAAUCCCUUAUCUUCCUCCA